AUAAUUUAUCAAUUGAAUGUCAAUUAGAUAUGUUCGAUAAAGCCAUUUUACCAGUAUUACUUUACAGUUCAGAGAUCUGGGGUUUUGAAAAUUUAGAUGUUUUAGAAAAAGUACACUUGCGUUUUUGCAAGAUCAUAUUAAACCUAAAGCAGACAACGCCAAAUAGCAUUAUUUAUGGAGAACUCGGACGAUUUCCGAUCUCGCUUACAGUUAAAAUGCGAAUGAUAAAAUUUUGGUGUAGAUUAGUAAAUGGUGAAGAGGAAACAAUC
Molecule: long non-coding RNA, 269 nt
Filed under: Mytilus galloprovincialis (Mediterranean mussel)
Lineage: Eukaryota; Metazoa; Mollusca; Bivalvia; Mytilida; Mytilidae
Source: RNAcentral